This 824-nucleotide ribosomal RNA is filed under the name uncultured Beijerinckiaceae bacterium. RNAcentral's name for it is "bacterial SSU rRNA". It matches the Rfam family "Bacterial small subunit ribosomal RNA", at positions 56 to 934 of the family's 1533-position model. Lineage: Bacteria; Pseudomonadati; Pseudomonadota; Alphaproteobacteria; Hyphomicrobiales; Beijerinckiaceae. The record is from RNAcentral.
UGCAAGUCGAACGCUCCGCAAGGGGAGUGGCAGACGGGUGAGUAACGCGUGGGAACAUGCCCUUCGGUUCGGAAUAACCCAGGGAAACUUGGGCUAAUACCGGAUACGUCCGAGAGGAGAAAGAUUUAUCGCCGAAGGAUUGGCCCGCGUCCGAUUAGCUAGUUGGUGGGGUAAUGGCUCACCAAGGCGACGAUCGGUAGCUGGUCUGAGAGGAUGAUCAGCCACAUUGGGACUGAGACACGGCCCAAACUCCUACGGGAGGCAGCAGUGGGGAAUAUUGGACAAUGGGCGCAAGCCUGAUCCAGCCAUGCCGCGUGAGUGAUGAAGGCCCUAGGGUUGUAAAGCUCUUUCGGCGGGGACGAUAAUGACGGUACCCGCAGAAGAAGCCCCGGCUAACUUCGUGCCAGCAGCCGCGGUAAUACGAAGGGGGCUAGCGUUGUUCGGAAUCACUGGGCGUAAAGCGCACGUAGGCGGAUUGUUAAGUCAGGGGUGAAAUGCCAAGGCUCAACCUUGGAACUGCCUUUGAUACUGGCAAUCUCGAGUCCGGGAGAGGUGAGUGGAACUCCGAGUGUAGAGGUGAAAUUCGUAGAUAUUCGGAAGAACACCAGUGGCGAAGGCGGCUCACUGGCCCGGUACUGACGCUGAGGUGCGAAAGCGUGAGGAGCAAACAGGAUUAGAUACCCUGGUAGUCCACGCCGUAAACGAUGGAUGCUAGCCGUUAGGCAGCUUGCUGCUUAGUGCGCAGUUAACACAUUAAGCAUCCCGCCUGGGGAGUACGGUCGCAAGAUAAAACUCAAAGGUGACGGGGGCCCGCACAAGCGGGG